Molecule: RNA transcript, 3260 nt
Organism: Mus musculus (house mouse)
Lineage: Eukaryota; Metazoa; Chordata; Mammalia; Rodentia; Muridae
Gene: Sppl2b
Gene name: signal peptide peptidase like 2B
Exons: 15
Source: RefSeq, marked validated
UGCGCACGCGCAGCCUCGGCGCAAGCACGUUGCGGCGUCCCGAAGGCGUUGCCAGGAAACCUUCCGCCUAGAGCUGCGGGGGGACCGGCGGACAUGGCCGCGGCGCGGCUGGCCGCAGCUUUGCUGCUACUCGCGGCCCAGGUGGCCUGUGAGUUCGGCGUGCUUCGAGUGGUGUCCCAAACCAGUAGGACUCGGAGCAGGGACUACUGCAUCCUCUACAACCCACAGUGGGCCCACUUGCCACAUGACCUCAGCAAAGUGUCUCUCCUGAAGCUUCGAGACUUGAGCACCACCCAGCUCUGUUCCUACCUUGACGUCCCUGCAGAAGACUUCACCAACCAAAUCGCACUGGUGGCCCGGGGCAACUGUACCUUCUAUGAGAAAGUGCGGCUGGCCCAGGGCAGUGGGGCUCACGGGCUGCUGAUAGUCAGCAAGGAGAAGCUGGUCCCUCCAGGAGGCAACAAGACACAGUAUGAGGAGAUAAGCAUCCCUGUGGCCCUGCUGAGCCACAGAGACCUUCAAGACAUCUUCAGGCGCUUUGGCCGUGAGGUAAUGGUGGCACUGUAUGCUCCGAGCGAGCCAGUGAUGGACUACAACAUGGUCAUCAUCUUUGUCAUGGCCGUGGGCACCGUCGCCAUCGGUGGCUACUGGGCUGGCAGCCAUGAUGUGAAGAAAAGGUACAUGAAGCAUAAGCGAGACGAUGGUCCUGAGAAACAGGAGGAUGAGGCGGUGGACGUGACGCCAGUCAUGAUCUGCGUGUUUGUUGUAAUGUGCUGCUUCAUGCUUGUGCUUCUCUACUACUUCUAUGACCGCCUGGUCUACGUGAUCAUUGGAAUCUUCUGCCUGGCCUCCUCCACCGGUCUCUACAGCUGUCUGGCACCCUUUGUGCGGAAGCUGCCCUUCUGCACGUGCAGGGUCCCCGACAACAACCUGCCGUACUUCCACAAGCGCCCACAGGCCCGCAUGCUGCUGCUGGCACUCUUCUGUGUCACUGUCUCCGUGGUGUGGGGUAUCUUCCGAAAUGAGGACCAGUGGGCAUGGGUCCUGCAAGACACCCUGGGCAUUGCCUUCUGCCUGUACAUGCUGAAGACCAUCCGCCUGCCUACCUUCAAGGCCUGCACGCUGCUGCUGCUGGUGCUCUUCAUCUACGACAUCUUCUUUGUCUUCAUCACCCCCUUCCUGACCAAGAGUGGCAACAGCAUCAUGGUGGAGGUGGCCACCGGGCCCUCGAACUCAUCCACCCAUGAGAAGCUGCCCAUGGUGCUGAAGGUGCCCAGGCUGAACACCUCGCCACUCUCCCUGUGUGACCGGCCCUUCUCCCUCCUGGGCUUUGGAGACAUCUUGGUGCCAGGUGUGGGCUGAGCGCACGGGGCGGGUGAGCAGGGCUGCUGGUGGCCUACUGUCACAGGUUUGAUAUCCAGGUGCAGUCCUCCAGAAUUUACUUUGUGGCCUGUACCAUUGCCUAUGGCCUGGGCCUCCUGGUGACCUUCGUGGCUCUUGUCCUCAUGCAGCGUGGCCAGCCUGCACUACUCUACCUGGUCCCUUGCACACUGCUGACCAGCUGCACCGUGGCUCUGUGGCGCCGGGAGCUGGGUGCCUUCUGGACGGGCAGCGGUUUUGCGGUGAAUACCAGUUUGCUAUGAGUGCGGCGAUAGCCCCCUAAGGCCACCAGGUCAAGUUGAGUCCAGCCUCCUUGUGCUCCCACUGAGCCCCUGGCCUGGGUCCCUCGCUUCUGGAAGGUCAUGCUUGAGCUUUCUGGUUCCCUGUGGGGAACUCUCUGGUGUGACCUAAGGCUUUGAACACUCCUGCCGCAUUGCUGAGCCCCCACCCCCACCGCCCUGUAGCAGCUGAAGAGGAUGGAGGGUACAUUGAAGGGCUGUGAGGGGAUGGGGAGUGCCCACCACAGACAGUGGGUGCCACGUGGCUCCCCAAGAUGAGCCUUGCUUCUUGGAAGGAUGCACCUCAGACCCCGUGGGCCGCAACCCAGGGACCUGUGCCUCCGAAGGCUGUGGGUUCCUCCCUCUCCGAGCAGCCUCCAAGUGAAGAGCUAGCCAAGAGCCCCCUGUCCACUGAGGAGGCCGGAGCCGCAGACCCUGCCAAGGAUCCUGACAACCCUGUGGCCAGUCCCCUCAGCCCCUCAAAUGGGGAUGAGGCUCAGCCUAUCCCUGUGGUGAAGCCAGAGACUUCGGCCUAGGAAGAAGAGGGGUGAGAGCUGGGCCCUCGCCGCCUUCCACGCCACACAGAUGCUGACCACCUGGGACCUGCAGGGGACAGGGACAGCUGCCACCCACCAGGGUGACAGACCUGCUCUGUGUCCCCCCUAACAUGGUGCUCAGGCCUCUGAGGCCUCAAGUAGAUUCUCCCAGCUGCACCCCGCGCCCAGCUCUGCUUUGCACCAGGCCGUGAGCUUCAUCUGCUGCCCACUCCAUGCAAGGCCGCUGCCCACAGUGCUCGGCCGAUGCUCACCCUGCAGAUGCUCCUACGGCCGCGCCUCCCUCCACAGGGCUGGGCUCUGGGGCCAGAGCAACCCCAACAAGCAGGUUCCUAUGUUGGGAGCAGCCUCGAGGGGCCUGUCUGUGGGCACUCUGCCCGCGGGGCCCAAACCCCUUCAGGAGAGUCCAUGCCAAGAUGGAGUUGAGAGCGUGGGCCACUGCUCUAAGCCAGUAAAUGGCUCCAGCUCCAGGUCCUGCGCUGUGCAGCCUGGUGGGAGCUGGCCACGUGUGGAUGGGUCCAUGUCCCCAGCAAGUCCAUCAGCUCAGACAUGCAAGUCUUCCAGGACACUGCCCUCUGCCCCAGCAGUGGCUUCUGGACUGGCAUCUGUCCUCUACCUCACCAACCAGGCUCUGGACUCCAUGACAGAUCUGCCUGCAGGGAGCCCAGCACACAUGCUGCAUGUCACCGAGGCAGAGGCCACAGUCCCCACACUCUGGGAUAGAACUCGGGAGCCACGGCCACCCACACUUGCAUGGGAAAGGGUGUCUGCUGCAGGAUGACAAGCAGGGACAGCUGGGUGGUCCUCCUAGAGCUCUGGGGAUGGGGGCAGGGGACAUCCCCUAGGCACCCUGUCUAACCAGAAUGGAUAGUUAGAGGAGCGCUGGGGCCUAGCCACCUGCUUCUGCCAUUGGAUUUGACAAGCCAUUUUAUAUUGGGUGUCCAAGCAGUCCUUUCACCUCUUGGGUAGUCGGAGGUGCUCCGCGAGGUCCCGCUCGAGGGCCCUGGCUUUAGGUUGUCAGGGGAUUAAACAGCUUUUCAUACUCACA